Molecule: transfer RNA, 65 nt
Filed under: Trichoprosopon pallidiventer
Lineage: Eukaryota; Metazoa; Arthropoda; Insecta; Diptera; Culicidae
Description: tRNA-Pro
Source: RNAcentral
CAAGAAGUAGUUUAUAUAAAAUAUUAGCUUUGGGAGUUAAUGAAAAAGAAUUUCUUUUUUCUUGA